RNAcentral lists this ribosomal RNA (486 nucleotides) under uncultured bacterium. Its description in RNAcentral is "partial 16S ribosomal RNA". It matches the Rfam family "Bacterial small subunit ribosomal RNA", at positions 30 to 507 of the family's 1533-position model. The record is from RNAcentral.
AUUGAACGCUGGCGGCAUGCCUUACACGUGCAAGUCGAACGGCAGCACGGGUGCUUGCACCUGGUGGCGAGUGGCGAACGGGUGAGUAAUACAUCGGAACAUGUCCUGUAGUGGGGGAUAGCCCGGCGAAAGCCGGAUUAAUACCGCAUACGAUCUACGGAUGAAAGCGGGGGACCUUCGGGCCUCGCGCUAUAGGGUUGGCCGAUGGCUGAUUAGCUAGUUGGUGGGGUAAAGGCCUACCAAGGCGACGAUCAGUAGCUGGUCUGAGAGGACGACCAGCCACACUGGGACUGAGACACGGCCCAGACUCCUACGGGAGGCAGCAGUGGGGAAUUUUGGACAAAGGGCGAAAGCCUGAUCCAGCAAUGCCGCGUGUGUGAAGAAGGCCUUCGGGUUGUAAAGCACUUUUGUCCGGAAAGAAAUCCUUGGCCCUAAUACGGUCGGGGGAUGACGGUACCGGAAGAAUAAGCACCGGCUAACUACGUG